Molecule: long non-coding RNA, 1137 nt
Filed under: Capsicum annuum
Lineage: Eukaryota; Viridiplantae; Streptophyta; Magnoliopsida; Solanales; Solanaceae
Description: long non-coding RNA (CANN_LNC012348)
Source: RNAcentral
UAGAUGUAAAAAUUUAUGCCUUUAAAUAUGUUCGAAGAAUUAAAAAAAAAAAAAAAGACACAUCUCAAAUUCUAUAUCGUAGUGUUGUUGGGAGCUUGAAGUACUCUAUGAUGUGUACUCGCCCAAACAUUUGUUAUACUAUAGGUCUGGUUAGUAGCUAUCAAUUCAAUCCUGGCUCGGGUGAGACAGAGGUGUUUCCGUGAGCUUCAGAUCUUUGAGGAUGCAUGAUCUGAAAAGCAAACAAAUGAGAAUUAGAGGAAAAUUCAGGACCUUAGACUCUACAACUCAAAAAUAGAACAGAAGAAAGAUACUACGCAGAUUAUUUACUAUUUUAUAGUGGAUCUGAUUUAUCAUAAGAGGUUAUGCAAAUGUUGAUUAGAUUGGUGACCGAUAUGAUAGAAAAUCGACCUCUAGUUAUGCUUUAUUACUAAACGGUGGUGCUAUUUCAUGAAAAAGUAAAAAUAAAAAUGCACAACCCUUUCAACCAUGGAAUCUAAAUUCGUGGCUUGUGCAUCCAUAGUACAAAAAAUCUAUUUAGUUGAAAAGAUUCUUUGAGUAUUUGAAUAUUGCAAAGAAUUUUAAGGGUCCGAUGAUUUUAUAUUGUGACAGUCAAGCAGUUAUCGCAUAUAUGCAGGAUCAUAAUUAUCAUAGGAAGAUCAAAAUGUUGAGAUCAAGUAUAACUUUGUGAGAGACAUUGCUGUAGGUGGAGAAAUAAAUAACAAUACAUUCUUACAUGAGAAAUGAUAGUUGAUCCCUUAACAACGAUGACAUCCAGAGACUUGUUUGAGAAAUAUCUUAUGACUCUAAUUUUGUGUAGGAUAUGAUUGCAUUUUUUAAUGUAAAAUAAAUUGAUUGUUAUUACUUUCUCAUCAACGAACACUUUUGUGUUGAAUUUAAGUUUAUAUCUCACAUGCAUGUGAUAAAGUCUGUCAAACAAGUCGCGAGAUUAAAUCUCUCACACAAAUAAUCGCCUCAUAUAUUGAGAACAUAAAGAGAAGAAUUCCACCACCAUGUUAUGACUUGUUUUGUUAGCCAGAUAUGAGUCUCUCUAAGAAGAUGGAUUUGAGGAUCAUUUAAGAGAGAAACUAAAGUUAGAUAUCUAGAUGUGUCUAGACCAAGAUCUAUAUGUUCUUGAAU